UACGUAGGGUGCAAGCGUUAAUCGGAAUUACUGGGCGUAAAGCGUGCGCAGGCGGUUUUGUAAGUCUGACGUGAAAUCCCCGGGCUUAACCUGGGAAUUGCGUUGGAGACUGCAAGGCUGGAGUCUGGCAGAGGGGGGUAGAAUUCCACGUGUAGCAGUGAAAUGCGUAGAGAUGUGGAGGAACACCGAUGGCGAAGGCAGCCCCCUGGGUCAAGACUGACGCUCAUGCGCGAAAGCGUGGGGAGCAAACAGG
This 253-nucleotide ribosomal RNA is filed under the name uncultured bacterium. RNAcentral describes it as "partial 16S ribosomal RNA". It matches the Rfam family "Bacterial small subunit ribosomal RNA", at positions 524 to 776 of the family's 1533-position model. The record is from RNAcentral.